GAUGAACGCUGGCGGCGUGUCUAAUACAUGCAAGUCGAGCGAACGGACGAGAAGCUUGCUUCUCUGAUGUUAGCGGCGGACGGGUGAGUAACACGUGGAUAACCUACCUAUAAGACUGGGAUAACUUCGGGAAACCGGAGCUAAUACCGGAUAAUAUUUUGAACCGCAUGGUUCAAAAGUGAAAGACGGUCUUGCUGUCACUUAUAGAUGGAUCCGCGCUGCAUUAGCUAGUUGGUAAGGUAACGGCUUACCAAGGCAACGAUGCAUAGCCGACCUGAGAGGGUGAUCGGCCACACUGGAACUGAGACACGGUCCAGACUCCUACGGGAGGCAGCAGUAGGGAAUCUUCCGCAAUGGGCGAAAGCCUGACGGAGCAACGCCGCGUGAGUGAUGAAGGUCUUCGGAUCGUAAAACUCUGUUAUUAGGGAAGAACAUAUGUGUAAGUAACUGUGCACAUCUUGACGGUACCUAAUCAGAAAGCCACGGCUAACUACGUGCCAGCAGCCGCGGUAAUACGUAGGUGGCAAGCGUUAUCCGGAAUUAUUGGGCGUAAAGCGCGCGUAGGCGGUUUUUUAAGUCUGAUGUGAAAGCCCACGGCUCAACCGUGGAGGGUCAUUGGAAACUGGAAAACUUGAGUGCAGAAGAGGAAAGUGGAAUUCCAUGUGUAGCGGUGAAAUGCGCAGAGAUAUGGAGGAACACCAGUGGCGAAGGCGACUUUCUGGUCUGUAACUGACGCUGAUGUGCGAAAGCGUGGGGAUCAAACAGGAUUAGAUACCCUGGUAGUCCACGCCGUAAACGAUGAGUGCUAAGUGUUAGGGGGUUUCCGCCCCUUAGUGCUGCAGCUAACGCAUUAAGCACUCCGCCUGGGGAGUACGACCGCAAGGUUGAAACUCAAAGGAAUUGACGGGGACCCGCACAAGCGGUGGAGCAUGUGGUUUAAUUCGAAGCAACGCGAAGAACCUUACCAAAUCUUGACAUCCUCUGACCCCUCUAGAGAUAGAGUUUUCCCCUUCGGGGGACAGAGUGACAGGUGGUGCAUGGUUGUCGUCAGCUCGUGUCGUGAGAUGUUGGGUUAAGUCCCGCAACGAGCGCAACCCUUAAGCUUAGUUGCCAUCAUUAAGUUGGGCACUCUAAGUUGACUGCCGGUGACAAACCGGAGGAAGGUGGGGAUGACGUCAAAUCAUCAUGCCCCUUAUGAUUUGGGCUACACACGUGCUACAAUGGACAAUACAAAGGGCAGCGAAACCGCGAGGUCAAGCAAAUCCCAUAAAGUUGUUCUCAGUUCGGAUUGUAGUCUGCAACUCGACUAUAUGAAGCUGGAAUCGCUAGUAAUCGUAGAUCAGCAUGCUACGGUGAAUACGUUCCCGGGUCU
Molecule: ribosomal RNA, 1372 nt
Filed under: uncultured bacterium
Lineage: Bacteria
Description: bacterial SSU rRNA
Rfam family: Bacterial small subunit ribosomal RNA
Source: RNAcentral